GUUCCUUGGAACAGGACAUCACAGAGGGUGAGAAUCCCGUACGUGGUCGCCUGCCCUUGCCGUGUAAAGCUCCUUCGACGAGUCGAGUUGUUUGGGAAUGCAGCUCUAAAUGGGAGGUAAAUUUCUUCUAAAGCUAAAUACUGGCCAGAGACCGAUAGCGCACAAGUAGAGUGAUCGAAAGAUGAAAAGUACUUUGGAAAGAGAGUCAAAAAGCACGUGAAAUUGUUGAAAGGGAAGCGCUUGCAGCCAGACUUGCCCGCAGUUGCUCACCUAGGCUUUCGCCUGGGGCACUCUUCUGCGGGCAGGCCAGCAUCAGUUUGGGCGGUUGGAUAAAGGCCUCUGUCACGUAUCUCCCUUCGGGGUGACCUUAUAGGGGAGGCGCAAUGCAACCAGCCCGGACUGAGGUCCGCGCAUCUGCUAGGAUGCUGGCGUAAUGGCUGUAAGCGGCCCGUCUUGAAACACGGACCAAGGAGUCUAACAUCUAUGCGAGUGUUUGGGUGUCAAGCCCGAGCGCGCAAUGAAAGUGAACGGAGGUGGGAACCCUUUGGGUGCACCAUCGACCGAUCCUGAUGUCUUCGGAUGGAUUUGAGUAAGAGCAUAGCUGUUGGGACCCGAAAGAUGGUGAACUAUGCUUGAAUAGGGUGAAGCCAGAGGAAACUCUGGUGGAGGCUCGCAGCGGUUCUGACGUGCAAAUCGAUCGUCAAAUUUGGGCAUAGGGGCGAAAGACUAAUCGAA
This 735-nucleotide ribosomal RNA is filed under the name Paraphaeosphaeria sp. Its description in RNAcentral is "partial large subunit ribosomal RNA". It matches the Rfam family "Eukaryotic large subunit ribosomal RNA", at positions 185 to 939 of the family's 3401-position model. The record is from RNAcentral. Lineage: Eukaryota; Fungi; Ascomycota; Dothideomycetes; Pleosporales; Didymosphaeriaceae.